GCUGUAGCUCCGAUUUGAACCCUAGCCUGGGAACCUCCAUAUGCCAUGAUUGCGGCCCUAAAAAGCAAAAAAAAAAAACAAAAAAAACAAACAAACAAACAAACAAAAAAAACCAAACAACAAAAAAAAAACCAACAAAAAACCCUCUUUUUACCCUUUUAUUGACACUUAACAAGACAAAAAUGAGUCAGGUUUUUUUAGUUCACUUUUCUCAUUCCCUUUCCCUCUCCAGCAUGUUUACUGUAAUUCCACAUCUUAAAAGAUUCUCAGAUGUGUUGUGCCCCAAAUACUACUUGACUGCUGUAUACAUAUGCAAUGCACACAAUUUAGGAUUCUCUCAUUUACAAUAGGAGAGUAUAUGCUAUUUUUUUAAAUAGACAAUAGGAGUAUAUGCUAUUUUUUAAAAUAAAAUUGGAGCAUGGAAUAAAAACAGUGAUCCCCACUGGUUUGUAACACAACUCUCAUCACUGGUCUGGAAAUGCUAUUUUAUUUUUUACUUUUUAAGGGUCAUACUUGCAACAUAAGGAAAUUCCCAGGCUAGGGAUCAAAUCAGAGCUGCAGCUGCCAGCCUACCCACAGCCACAGCAACACUGGAUCCUUAAUCCACUGAGCAAGGCAUCAAUUGGAUCCUAUCAAUCCUGCAUCCUCAUGGAUACUAGUUGGGUUCAUUACCACUGAGCCACAACAGGAACUCCUGGAAAUGCUAUUUUAAACAUAAAAAUGUUUUUAUGACAACCCAAGGAAACAAUUUGCAUUUACUCCAUUCAAUUUUUAAAAAAAAACCCAUUUCUUUCUCACUCACUUUUAAUAAUCUGCAAAUAAAACUCAAUAGUUAAGAAUAAAUCUACCAAUAUUUACUUCCUAUCCAAAAUUAUUUCUAACAGGACCAAUAGGGGAUCUCUAUAAUGACAAAGUCUAAAGGUAGGACUAUAAAAAUGUUGAGACCAAGACAUUAUUUACAAACAGAAUAGGUCUCUAAAAUAGCUUCUGCUUCAGCGAAUGUGAAACCAAUAAGUUAGAGUUAAAAUGGAAUAUUUUCUAGCUGGUUUUAGGCCAGUUAAAUCUAAUAAGGAUCGUAAAGAUAAGCAGCUAACUUGAAAUCAAAAUAACUAUCGGGAACAUUUUGUAUUCCAUUAAUAGGUAAUAAAAUCUAUGUACUGAAUGAAAAUAUAAAUUCUGAUUACUUAUUUAUAUAAAACUUUAGGCCCACAUAAUUAUCAGUCCAAAAAUAGCUUAAUAGCACAAUAUUUUUAAAGAAGGCUUUGAUGAAAUCCACAAAAAAAACAAUCUUUACUCAUUUGUCCCUUGGUACCAUCUUCUCAGAUGCUGUAACUAAGUUGAGGUUUUUGUUUCAGAGGGAGUUGGAAGAUAUUUCAGAUAUGCUAUAAGAAAUAUGAUAAUCUUGCAGUUUUUAAAUCAUUAAAUGAUGACCAUGAGCUUAGU
Molecule: long non-coding RNA, 1443 nt
Filed under: Sus scrofa (pig)
Lineage: Eukaryota; Metazoa; Chordata; Mammalia; Artiodactyla; Suidae
Description: lncRNA (ENSSSCG00000052598.1)
Source: RNAcentral